Molecule: ribosomal RNA, 254 nt
Filed under: uncultured bacterium
Lineage: Bacteria
Description: partial 16S ribosomal RNA
Rfam family: Bacterial small subunit ribosomal RNA
Source: RNAcentral
UACGAAGGGGGCUAGCGUUGUUCGGAUUUAUUGGGCGUAAAGAGCUCGUAGGCGGCUUGGUAAGUCAGGUGUGAAAUCUCCACGCUCAACGUGGAGGGGCCACCCGAAACUGCCAUGGCUUGAGUCCGGUAGGGGAGUGUGGAAUUCCCGGUGUAGCGGUGAAAUGCGCAGAUAUCGGGAGGAACACCCGUAGCGAAGGCGGCACUCUGGGCCGGUACUGACGCUGAGGAGCGAAAGCGUGGGGAGCAAACAGG